This 253-nucleotide ribosomal RNA is filed under the name uncultured bacterium. Its description in RNAcentral is "partial 16S ribosomal RNA". It matches the Rfam family "Bacterial small subunit ribosomal RNA", at positions 524 to 776 of the family's 1533-position model. RNAcentral also lists the same sequence under 1 other name. The record is from RNAcentral.
UACGUAGGGGGCUAGCGUUGUCCGGAAUCAUUGGGCGUAAAGCGCGUGUAGGCGGCCCGGUAAGUCCGCUGUGAAAGUCGGGGGCUCAACCCUCGGAUGCCGGUGGAUACUGUCGGGCUCGAGUACGGAAGAGGCGAGUGGAAUUCCUGGUGUAGCGGUGAAAUGCGCAGAUAUCAGGAGGAACACCAAUUGCGAAGGCAGCUCGCUGGGACGUUACUGACGCUGAGACGCGAAAGCGUGGGGAGCAAACAGG